RNAcentral lists this microRNA precursor (204 nucleotides) under Oryza sativa Japonica Group (Japanese rice). Its description in RNAcentral is "MIR812 microRNA precursor family". It matches the Rfam family "MIR812 microRNA precursor family". Lineage: Eukaryota; Viridiplantae; Streptophyta; Magnoliopsida; Poales; Poaceae. The record is from Rfam by way of RNAcentral.
AAAAAGACAAACCUGGUUUCCAUGCCCAACGUUUGACCGUCUGUCUUAUUUGAAAAAAUUAUGAAAAAAUUUAAAAAGACAAAUCACGCAUAAAAUAUUAAUCAUGUUUUAUCAUCUAACAACAAUAAAAAUACGAAUUAUAAAAAAAUUUCAUAUAAGACGGACAGUCAAAGUUGGACACGGAAACCCAGGGUUUGUCCUUUU